Molecule: ribosomal RNA, 250 nt
Filed under: uncultured bacterium
Lineage: Bacteria
Also listed under: 1 other name
Description: partial 16S ribosomal RNA
Rfam family: Bacterial small subunit ribosomal RNA
Source: RNAcentral
ACGUAGGUCCCGAGCGUUGUCCGGAUUUAUUGGGCGUAAAGCGAGCGCAGGCGGUUAGAUAAGUCUGAAGUUAAAGGCUGUGGCUUAACCAUAGUACGCUUUGGAAACUGUUUAACUUGAGUGCAAGAGGGGAGAGUGGAAUUCCAUGUGUAGCGGUGAAAUGCGUAGAUAUAUGGAGGAACACCGGUGGCGAAAGCGGCUCUCUGGCUUGUAACUGACGCUGAGGCUCGAAAGCGUGGGGAGCAAACAG